Molecule: long non-coding RNA, 1468 nt
Filed under: Nicotiana benthamiana
Lineage: Eukaryota; Viridiplantae; Streptophyta; Magnoliopsida; Solanales; Solanaceae
Description: long non-coding RNA (NBEN_LNC014751)
Source: RNAcentral
AGAGUCUUUAUUAGACAGAGAACAAAAUGAAUUGAAGUCCGGUAGGUGGAAAUAUCUUCACCUGGACUAUAUACAACUUACACACGAACGGAUCGGAUUGGGUGAUCUGGCCCAAAAUUAAAUAACAUGUGGGCUCAGACACACAAUAAUCAUCAUAGCCCAUUUACAAGAUAUAUCAUGGAUAUACCGAAACUAUACAAUGAGUAUACAAGAAUAUACAAGGCUAUACAAGACUAUAUCAUGUAUUUUCUCUUAUCUCAGCACCCUCCCUCAAGUUGAAGGGGGAUACCACCUGCAACUUGAGCAACAAGGGAUGAAGUAUAGUGCCAGGCAAAGGCUUGGUCAGAAGGUCAGCGAGCUGGCGAGUAGUAGGGACAUGAAACAGUUGAAUAAGGUCAUUCUGGAGCAGAUCGCGCACAAAAUGACAAUCCACUUCAAUGUGUUUAGUCCAUUCAUGAAAAACAGAAUUCUUGGCAAUGUGAAUGGCAGCCUGGCUGUCACAAUACACAGAAAAAGGAAGAGAGACAGAAACACCAAGAUCAAGAAAUAAACGAGACAACCAAGACAGUUCAGCAACAACCUUACUUAGGGCCCUGUAUUCAGCCUCAGCAGAAGACAAAGAGACCACUGGUGGCUUCUUCGAUUUCCAACUAAUCAAGGAGCCACCCAGAAUAAUACAGAACCCAGUAACAGACCUCCGUGUAUCAGGGCAGGCAGCUCAGUCACUAUCAGAAUAACCAACAACAUUGAAAUCAUUGCAAUCAGAAUAAAAGAGGCCCAGAGAAGAAGUCCCCUUAAGAUAUCUCAGGACAUGAAGAGCAGCAGUCAUAUGGGGAAGUCUGGGGCAUUUGAGGAAUUGACUAAGAUGUUGCACAACAAAACAGAUGUCAGGCCUAGUAUGGGUCAGAAAUAAGAGCUUACCAACAAGACUCCUAAACUGAUCAGGAGAAGGUAAAAGGUCACCAGAAUCAGCAUGUAACUUUGCAUUAAUGUCUAAAGGACAGACAACAGAAGAGACAUUGAUACAGUCAAACUGUUGCAGCAAAUCACAAAUAUAUUUGUGCUGAUUAAGGAUCAUCCCACCAGGAACAGAUGACACACAUUGAUACAGUCAAACUGUUGCAGCAAAUCACAAAUAUAUUUGUGCUGAUUAAAGAUCAUCCCACCACGAGCAGAUGACAUCUGUAUGCCUAAAAAGUAAUGUAAAGAUCCUAGGUCCUUAAUUUUAAACUGAUCAUCCAGAAAUAGUUUCAGAGCAGCAAUUUCAUCACAGUCAUCCCCAGUAAGGAUAAUAUCAUCCACAUAAACAACUACAAUCACAAGGGACCCAGGUGUACCUUUGAUGAAUAGGGAAUAAUCAUUCAAAGAGUGUCUAUAGCCUCUAGAGGAUAGGGCAGAAGACAAUUUGGCAUACCAUUGUCUGGAAGCCUGUCUGAGCCCAUAUAGGGAUUUGUUUAAUUUGCAAACA